This is a long non-coding RNA of Stomoxys calcitrans (stable fly), 8276 nucleotides long. RefSeq lists it as uncharacterized. Lineage: Eukaryota; Metazoa; Arthropoda; Insecta; Diptera; Muscidae. The record is from RefSeq and is a predicted model, not a curated record. The transcript has 3 exons.
UAUAAAGUGAUUCGAGAAGGAAAAAAUUGAGUAAAAUAAAAUUUAUAUACAUAUAUAUAUAAUAAUUUUUAAAAUUCAAAUAAUUUCCUUGAAUUCUAUUAAUGCAACAUACGGAGAAGUAACAAGAGCUUUUAGCCGGAUUCAAAUUAAUCGAAUAGAUGUUUGCAGUUUAUUUAGUGUAGUCGAAGCAGAAACUUAAAUUCCAAUUACUUAUUAGUACUAACAACAAUAAACAGCGACAUCUGAAGUCACAAAUUGCAUCAACUCAGCAUCAGCCUCUCUCGCGCGUUCGUUCAAUAAGCAUUUCGGUAUUUAAAGAAACACAAAACUAGCCUUUCCCAAACGAGGCCAACCAAAAAAGGGAAAAAUUUUGAUUUGUUACUUACCUGUGUGGAACCAAGUUAUCAUAAAACAAACUCGUCACCAUGUCCAUGGCUGGGCAAACAAUCAACGACAGACUGUUGGCUGCCAGGCACAGUUUGUCCGGUCAAGGUCUGGCCAAAUCGGUAUGCAAGGCCACAACGGAGGAUUGGUCCCAAGAAGAAACAUUUAGAUUAUUGUUAUUAAGGAAAUCUAUCGACACAAUCGAAACUAUCUCAUGACCCAGAAGCAACAAAUAAAUUGGUGGACCAAUUAUUUUUAUUGUAUUUUGCGCCGUAAAAAAAUGUUGGGAAAGAACAAAAGCCCCUAAGUGAAUAGUGUCACAGCAAGAUACAUGUGAUAGAGCUAUCAAUGCAAGAGAAAAAUAAUUUAUAAAUUUAAUCGAUCAUCCAGCAAGUCAAACUCCAUCACCGCUCCAGUCAUCGUGGGAGGCGCAGAAAACUUGCACGCUCAAUCCGACGUGCCCAUGUAAAACCCUAUGCGUACGGUUAUUUCACAUUUAACUUUGGACAGACUCCCGAUAGACCUCUUUAUGUUUUCAGUACCCUAUAUUUGUAGAAAAGAGAAAGUUUUGAUAUAAGUGGUAAGGCAGGACAAUUGUGUACUUGUUUUAUAUUAAGUUACUUUUCAGAAUUCUAUAGGAAAGUGCCCGAGGCGCCUAGGAUGAGCUCAUUGUAGGCAGCUUUGGUGGGUUUUUUGAGAGAGGGUUAUUGCCCAAAUAACUACGGCUGGUGCCUCCACCUGUCGAUCCUAAGUAUUAUUCGUAUUAUUUUUAUUCUAGAAAUAAUUUCGCUGUCUUUGGAAUCCUCCACUUCUUUAUCCGAUUCAUAUUCUGAUUCAAAAGUAAUAUUUUCCUAAUUUUCUAUAAUUUUGCCUGGUUUUAAACAAUUUGAUAGCCAUAGUCGUAUAUUGUCUAUUCUACAACUAUCUUUGGAAUCCUAGAAUAUAUCUCCAAGCAAAGCUAUCAAGAAUUCACUUCCAAAAGUCUUCACUGCGUUCAAAUGUGCCAUGGGAUCAUUCUUCAAUUCACAAAGUACUAAUUCUUCUCUUUUUCUGUUAAUAUUGCUCACAUGACAAUCAAUAAAAUUUUAAAAAUUUUUAUUUGAACCAUCAUUUUACCCUGCUGAUUCCCAUUUGGAUCCCGAUUCCAAGGCACUAUGUAUCAUUGUACGUAUGCCUCGAAUAAGUGUUCCGAUGUCGCACAAUUGUCUUCCUUUUAAUUCAGUCAAUGGGUCUAUUUCUUCCAUUAAAUUUUCUUCCCUCACUUCAUUCUCGAAAUCUGUUAUUGUUCCGAUGUUGCACAAUUGUCUUCCUAUUCCUUCUAACUCAGUCAACGGGUCUAUUUCUUCUACUAAAUUUUCUUCCCUCACUUCAUUCUCGAAUUCUCUUAUCAAAUUAUAAGUCAUUCUUAGGCACCGCGAAUUAAUUUUUGUUUUCUAAACUCCUAAUCUCUGCAUAUAUUAAUUAAUCUCAGGUCAAAAAUAUGAAACAUUUCCUUCCUAAUAGCGGGGUGGUUUCAAAUAUUGCUCCUAUCUACAUGAUUAUCCUCCUAAUCUCCUUGGCUAACACACCAUUCUCUAUAAACAUUUUCCCUUUGUGGCUUAAAGAAUAUGACCUUUUUCGCAAACUGCUCAAGUAAAUUUCAGGUCCUAAUCCGCAUUGUCCUCUAAAUCUCCAUCAUAUUCAAAUUCCAAUUAAAUGUUGGAUUUUUUUUUUUUUUUUUGAAUGCUGUUAUCUCGGAAAUACCACGCAGUAUUUUUGCCAAUCGUAAGUUAUACUUUUUUUGUGUGUUUGCCCAACCAUCUCCGAAAACUCAGUUCUUACAAUAAAUAGCCGCGAUUUCUAAAAUUACGGGUUGCAUUGUAAUCCACUAAAUCAAAAUCAGUUUGCAAUUUGCCAGUAUUAUCCAUUCUUGUAGUGCGUUCACCAGUAUGGGGAAUUCUAAAUGUUCCUCCUACAUCAUUUCCACCGGUAUUGGCAACUUUAAAUGUGCCGUCUGCCUCAUAACCUUUCUCUGAAUUCCAACUAUAUUCCAAUUCCUCUAAGGUAUUAUCGUAUUGAUGCGCCUCAUCUCAUCUCUUACGGAAGCGUUAUAAAUACAGAAGCACUUCUAAAUCUACAGGAGCAUCCAUGUACCUUAUUUUCUUAAUUGUGUUCAAUUCUUUUUCUGGAUUAUUUUGUUCCCUUGUGUGUUCGAAUUCCUCUAAGGCAUUAUCGUAUUGAUGCGCCUCGUCCUAUCUCUUGCGGAAGCUUCUUAUAUCUAGAAGCACUUCUAAAUCUGCAAUCGAAUCCAUGUUCAUAUUUUUCGUAGUUGUGUGUAAUUCUUUUAGUUGUUUAUUUUGUUUCUUUUUAUAUUCCAAUUCCUCUAAGGAAUUAUCGUAUUGAUGCGUCCCGUCCCAACUCUUACGGAAGGUUUCUAAAUCCAGAAGGACUUCUAAAUCUACAGGAGAAUUCAUGUACAUCCUUCAUGCACUUUCUCCCCAGAUUCAUCAUUGCAUUUCACUUCCUCGUCUGUAGAUUGCCUUCUUCCCCAACUACCCCUAAUUUAAUCUCAGACCAAAAAUAUGAAACAUUUUCUUCCUAAUAGCGUGGUGGUUUCAAAUAUUGCUCCUAUCUACAUGAUUAUCCUCCUAACCUCCUUGGCUAACACACACCAUUCUCUUUAAACAUUUUCCCUUGGUGACUUAAGAAUAUGACUUUUUUCGCAAACUGCUCAAUUAAAUUUCAGGUCCUUUCAAUUCAAUUUCAGGUCUUUUCAAACUAAAAAAACAUUCCUUAUCCGCAUUGUCUUCUAAAUCUCCAUCAUAUUCAAAUUCCAAAUGUAUGUUGGAUUUUUUUUUUUUGAAUGCUGUUAUCUCGGAAAUGCCACGCAGUAUUUUUACCAAACGUAAGUUAUACUUUUUUGUGUGUUUGCCCAACCAUCUCCGAAAACUCAGUUCUUACAAUAAAUAGGCGCGAUUUCUAAAAUUACGGGGUGCAUUAUAAUCCACUAAAUCAAAGUCAGAUUGCAAUUUGCCAGUAUUAUCCAUUCUUGUAGUGCGUUCACCGGUAUGGGGAAUUCUAAAUGUUCUCCCUACAUCAUUACCACCGGUAUUGGGAACUUUAAAUGUGCCGCCUGCCUCAUUACCUUUCUCUGAAUUCCAAUUCCUCUAAGGCAUUAUCGUAUUAAUGCGUCUCGUCCCAUCUCUUACGGAAGCUUUCUAAAUCCAGAAGCACUUCUAAAUGUACAGGAGCAUCCAUGUACCUUAUUUUCUUAAUUGUGUUCAAUUCUUUUUCUGGAUUAUUUUGUUUCCUUCUGUAUUCGAAUUCCUCUAAGGCACUAUCAUAUUGAUGCGACUCAUCCUAUCUCUUGCGAAAGCUUCUUAAAUCCAGAAGCACUUCUAAAUCUACAGGCGAAUCCAUUUUCAUACUUUUCGUUCUUGUGUGUAAUUCGUUUAGUUGUUUAUUUUGUUUCUUUCUAUAUUCCAAUUCCUCUAAGCCAUUAUCGUUUGAUGCGUCUCGUCCCAUCUCUUACGGAAGAUUUCUAAAUCCAGAAGGACUUCAAAAUCUACGGGAGAAUUCAUGUAAUCCACUAAAUCAAAUUCAGACUGCAAUUUGCCAGUAUUAUCUAUUCUUUUAGUACGUUCAUCGGUAUAGGGAAUUCUUAAUGUUCCGCCGACAUCAUUACCACCGGUAUUGGGAAAUUUAAAUUUGCCGCCCGCCUGAUUACCUUAUUCUGAAUUCCAAUUCCUCUGAGGCUAUAUCGUAUUGAUGUGCCUCGUCCCAUCUCUUACGGAAGCUUUCUAAAUCCAGAAUCACUUCUAAACCUACAGGAGAAUCCAUGUACAAUAUUUUUGUUUCUUUUUAUAUUGCAAUUCCUCUAAGGCAUUAUCGUAUUGAUGCGUCUCGUCCCAUCUCUUACGGAAGCUUUCUAAAUCCAGAAGGACUUCUUAAUCUACAGGAGAAUAUAUGUACACUAUUUUCAUAAUUGUAUGCAAUUAUUUUUGUGUUUUAUUUUGUUUCUUUUUAUAUUCCAAUUCUUCUACGGCAUAAUCGUAUUGAUGCGUCUCGUCCCAUCUCUUACAGAAGCUUUCUAAAUCCAGAAGCACUUCUAAAUCUACAGGAGCAUCCAUGUACCUUAUUUUCUUAAUUGUGUUCAAUCCUUUUUCUGGAUUAUUUUGUUUCCUUCUGUAUUCGAAUUCCUCUAAGGCACUAUCAUAUUGAUGCGACUCAUCCUAUCUCUUGCCAAAGCUUCUUAAAUCCAGAAGCACUUCUAAAUCUACAGGCGAAUCCAUUUUCAUACUUUUCGUUCUUGUGUGUAAUUCUUUUAGUUGUUUAUUUUGUUUCUUUCUAUAUUCCAAUUCCUCUGAGGCAUUAUCGUUUGAUGCGUCUCGUCCCAUCUCUUACGGAAGAUUUCUAAAUCUAGAAGGACUUCAAAAUCUACGGGAGAAUUCAUGUAAUCCACUAAAUCAAAUUCAGACUGCAAUUUGCCAGUAUUAUCUAUUCUUUUAGUACGUUCAUCGGUAUAGGGAAUUCUUAAUGUUCCGCCGACAUCAUUACCACCGGUAUUGGGAAAUUUAAAUUUGCCGCCCGCCUGAUUACCUUAUUCUGAAUUCCAAGUCCUCUGAGGCUAUAUCGUAUUGAUGUGCCUCGUCCCAUCUCUUACGGAAGCUUUCUAAAUCCAGAAGCACUUCUAAACCUACAGGAGAAUCCAUGUACAAUAUUUUUGUUUCUUUUUAUAUUGCAAUUCCUCUAGGGCAUUAUCGUAUUGAUGCGUCUCGUCCCAUCUCUUACGGAAGCUUUCUAAAUCCAGAAGGACUUCUUUAUCUACAGGAGAAUCCAUGUACAUUAUUUUCAUAAUUGUGUGCAAUUAUUUUUGUGUUUUAUUUUGUUUCUUGUUAUAUACCAAUUCUUCUACGGCAUUAUCGUAUUGAUGCGUCUCGUCCCAUCUCUUACGGAAGCUUUCUAAAUCCAGAAGGACUUCUAAAUCUACAGGAUGUACAUGGAACAUUGUUUUCGUAAUUGCGUGCAAUUCUUUUUGUUGUUUAUAUUUCCUUUAGUUGCUUUUUGUCUACUUUACAUACACUCACAAAUUGACAAUAUUGUAAAAAUGCGUUACCUUGGAAACAUUUUUGAAUCACAUUCUAAGGUAAUUUCAUUGAGGAAAAAUAAAGCUACAUAUGUAUGUACGUACUUCUGGAAAAUCAAUAUACAUAUCUUACAAGAUUGUAAAUUAAUCUCCUUUUCGUUUCAUCGAUUUGCUGUGAUAACGCAACGGAACUUUGACUAUUCCACUACCAAAAGACAUUCAAUUAUGUCGUGUACAUUAAUGACAGUAUUCACAAGUCCAUUAGUUGCACAAAAUAUAAUUCAUUAAAAAUAGACUAAAGUUUUGUUUAUCUCUCUUUUUUUCACUUUGUUGGGUUCACCAGGCUAUUUUAAUUGAUUCGGUAAGCAACUUCGCUCGGAUUACCAUGUGUCUUUUUUUUCCUCCCACAAUCCACACGUCCUGCCAGCUCCAAUUUUCGAAUCCAAGAGAAAGGAAAAAGCCCAGGAAAUUAUCCAUUUCCCAAAAAUUUUCCGUCAUGGCCCUUUUUCCUUUCACUUUGCUGCUCAUUGUCCAUAUUUGUCCCCAAGCGACCAGUAAUGAACAAAGGCACCGUAACGCCCAGCUGUUUCUGCCAAUGGAAUAAACAUCGUGUCAAUCACAAUAAUACGGUUAAUGGUCCUACUCAAGUUUUGUUAUUGCGCACACAAUAAUUAUGAUCCAAUAGCUUUCCUUUAGCAUUUGCACAUUACCACAAGCAACAUGUAAAAAGGUACAAAGUUCGACAAGGACGAACCUCAUUUGUGGCCGAGUCAUUAUAUAGCGAUACAUGAUUCUUCGACCAAAUAUGUUCUGUUCUAUGUGUAACAUUUCAUUUGAAAUGAUGAUGAUAGUCUUGCAUUUUUUCAAUAAGAAUCAAAGAAAUCAUUACUUCCGAUUGGACUGCAUAAAAUAUGAAAAAAAUUUGUGUACCUUGUGGGUUUCCAACGGUGGGCAGAGUCCUAUAGAGUUUUCUAUCCUAUUGUGAAUGGUUUCGGUUCAGGCGAAUAAUCCAGUUUUCGCAUAUGUUGAGUUGUUGAACUGGGUAGAAAGAGGGAAAGUCUUCAAGGAAGAAGAAGGUCAAAGACCUUCCAUGACAGGACAUUUUUGAAAAAUGGCCAACUUCCUUACCGGUUCUCAGUUCAAAUGUGGUUUUCCGCGAUAAGGGCGUACCUUUAGGAGAAACUUUUAUAAUCGAAAUAUAACAGUUUGUCACGAUUCGACGUUCAAAGCACAAAGUGUCAAGGCGCGAAGUUUGGAAUGUUCUGUUUUUUAUCACUCGUGGGCUCAAUUGGCGACAUCGCUUCGUCCCACGUUUGUUACUGAACGGAAAAAAGUUAAUGGAACCUCUACACCAAUCGGUGGGAAUGAGCGCCAGAGCCUUCUUGAUCUGAGUACCGCGAAAGCUUCCUCAAGUGGUGAUUCCAUCGGGUGCUGAUGUCUCGAGGCGGUCAGGUUGUGACUUGUCAUAGACCCCUGCAGCGUCCCCCCUGUGCCCCAGAGAUACUAUGAUAUUAGGAUGUACAUCAUAGUAAGAGGGAAAGGCGACCGAGGAAUAUGAGCUGCCAGAACACAAUUAAAACGGAUGGAAUCGCAAUGUCAGGGAAGGAGACACAAGGUAAAUUCACCACGGUAAAUAAGCCGAAACCCUGUAUCCGGUGGCGUCGGAUAGGACACAUUUUUUGUUUUGCACAGACCCGGCUGGUGGUUUAUUUUCUUUUUUAUGUUUUCACAAUUAUACUUUAUUUUAUUUCUACAUUUGUCGGUGCUGCUGCGGUCGUCCUAUUGACGAAAUUAAGUUCAUUACUUUUUCUUUGGCCUUUGAUUAUCCAUUUCAUUCAUCACUAGUUGAUAUGCUCCAGCCAGGCCCUAGCUACGUUCGCGCAUGUCAGAAAUAUAGGGAGGUCCAGAUGCGACCAUAUAAGCUAUAGCGUGGUAUAUUUUAGCGUGUCUUACAUGUCUUCCCCAAUGAAAUGCAGGCCGUAGAGUUGAGUUUAGUGAAAUAAAUGUUUCCUAGAAGGUGGGCCAAUUGAGCCAAAUGUCAGUUCAUGCCUUAGGGAUGCCCGUGCAUGAAAGAUGGAUUAUGGCCCCUUUUACACUGCAAGACUGAUAUGAGGAAGAAAUCUUGGAUGUGGUCAGGUCGAUUUGGGCCAAGUACAAUGGAAGAAAGGAAAGAAACCAUGAUGGGGAAUUUAUAAGAACUGGCAAGUUUCCCUGCCUCUUUUAUCUGUAAAUUGGAGCUGGCUCGACGUGUAAGUCGCGCGAGGAAAAAUAUAUCGUGAUUCGGAGGCGUUUUAAAACGAGGAGCCUUUUGUCGCAAUCAAAACAAACUCAUGACCCAGAAGAAACAAAAUAAUUAGUGAAUAAUUUAUUUUUAUUUAAUUUUAUGCCAUCAAUAAAUGGUGUGAAAGAACAUAAGCCCCUGUGUGAAUAGUGUCACUGGUGAAGCAAGACACUAUAUUUAUAAAAAAGGAAAAGUUUUGAUAUAAGUGGUUAGGCAGGACAAUUGUGCAUUUCUUUUAUAUUAAGUUACCUUUCAGAUUUCUUUAGGAAAGGUGCCCGAGGCGCCUAGGAUGAGCUCAUUGUAGGUAGCUUUGGUGGGUUUUUGAAAUAGGGGUUUUACCCAAAUUACGUAAGCAAUUUUUGUGCUGCCUCAGGGAAACCAGUUAAACCUUUUUCUAGUACGUUUUGCUCUUUUUGAUUAAAUAAUAUUUCAUUUUAUAUUGUCUUUGGUGUAUGAAUAUUAUUUGAAUUUCCUUUUUAUUGGCUUGCGUCAAUUUCUGCUGCAUUAAUAGUUAAUAUUAAAGUCUUUAUAACGUUUUUGAGAAAA